AGGCAAAGCACAUGGGCUGUGGAU
Molecule: non-coding RNA, 24 nt
Filed under: Cricetulus griseus (Chinese hamster)
Lineage: Eukaryota; Metazoa; Chordata; Mammalia; Rodentia; Cricetidae
Source: RNAcentral